ACACACACAUUGAGACCAAAAGGGCUGCAAACAGGAAACUCAGACCAGAGAGCUGCGGCUGGCUGUGGGGUGGCAGCCCAAGCUCACACAGGAGAACGACACUCUCAAAGGUGCUGCUCCCUCUGCCCCUGUGAGCUGCGGGUGCCAGGGCCGGCUUCCUGGGAACUGCCCUGAAAUUGAGCAGCUCCUGGUCCACAGGAGGCACCCAGCUGCUUCCCACCUUGAAGAUUUCUCCUGGUCCUCGGCUAUUGAAGGACCCGGGGAGCCUGCCGCGAGGAGGUGUGGACAGGGACAGUGCGGGCAGCCCUGUGGCACACCUCCUUGCUGUCCUGCAUGCCCCCUCUCCAGCCUGGGGAGUUCACAAAACACUUCAGCUGAGAUGCAAACAGAAGCCUGAGCCCCUCACGUGGCUGCCUGCGACACAGCAUCCUGCCUGUGAUGGGACCCGCACAGACAAAGGCCAGCUGGGCAAAGGAAGUGGCAGGUAGUCAGUGUGAUGGAAAUCACAGAGCCAUGUUGGUCAAAGUUCACUUGAAAUUUCCUGAUGUCUGAACAUAAUGCACAUUGCCAGAGGAAGGAGCCAGUGUGUUUACACCCAAUGUCUAGGCUUUUCCUAAGCAGCCUUCCCCAUCAGCACUGGCUCACAGUGGAGCCGGAAUCAGCAGGAGUCCGGUGCACAGGACGGAGAAAGGUCAGCAACCAAGUCCUGUCUGGGCUGAGAUCUGGUCUCCAUAUCAACCCGGCUCCAUUCGCGCAGGCUCUGUGUAUCUCCUGUCGGACCACAGCUGAAGGUCACCCUCAGGCCUUUAACCUAAGUGGACCACUGAGAUCACCAUCAGCUGGCCCACGAGCCAAAACAAUUCCCGGUUCAUUCUUCCAGGCCGAAGGUAACAUCUCAACUGGCACUGACUCCCGAGGCCUGCAUCUUCCACUGUAGGACCUUAAGGAACUUUGGAGCUGAUGUUCACAUUAAGUCAAAACUGCAAUGUCCAACGUCUGCCAAGGACUGCUCGGUGUCCACCCACAGAGCCCUCAUGUCCACAGGAGUCCUGAGCAUUUGCAGAGUUUGGAUUCAUUGCUUCAGUUACUCCAGAGACACCCAGGGAGCCUGUGGCCUGCACUCCUCUGUAACCCAGCUGGGAUGAAUCUGAUUAAAGUGAACUGCAGGCCUGGAAAGUGGACUCCAGACACUUUAGCCACGGAAAGACCCUGGUCGACUGCUCACAAUCGGGGACUUGGAGCAGCUGCGCUGCUCUCUGCUCUUCCCAAACACGAAUUAUGUGAGACAGGAUGCGCUCACGUGCCACUGGCCUGUUGGGGAUUUACAAAGGCCUCGGCUCUCCCUCUCAAAGGUCAGGAGUCUUUGCUGGUCAGUCACAAUGUUCUUUAUGAGGUAGAAUGAAAAAUGCAUAAUACAAUGUAAGAUAUGUGUAUAGGGACACAAAUGUGUGCGGAAUGAAAAAGGAUACGAAAGAAAACGCAUCCUACAGUUAGACCAACGUUUUCCAAAUGGAGGCGAUCCUGCCUCCAGAAGAUGUCUGAUAAUAUUUAAAGAUAUUUUGGGGUAUUGCAACUGGCUAGAGGGGCACACGUAGGGCUGUGGGGCGCAGGGCAUGAGUGCGUCUACCAGGCGGAGGCCAGGACGCUGCUACACCACCGCAGUGCCCAGGGUGGCCUCCAGCACGAGUGACCUCCCAGGACAACAGUGUCAAGGUUGACAACCCCGACUCUGAGUUUUAUGACAUUUCCUUCUCAUACCCUCCGCCCUCCCUUACUCCCUCUCUAAUAAAUUGUGUGGUUCUAAAACCAGAUGAUGAUCACUUUUGCUUCUGGAGAAUUUCUUUUGUAACUUAAAUAAUACCCUCAGCUUUUUUUUUUUUUAAUCAAGGACCGAGAAGGCAAUGAAGAAGUGGAAACCCCUGCAUUUUGUGAUAAAUCUACAGCUUAAGACAGAGUUCAUGAUGUUAUAAAUGCAUCUUGUAUAAAACUGCUCCCAAAUAAAUAUCAUGUAGGUCUCAGGACCACAAAAGUUUCGUUUCUCUUCUCUCUCUUU
Long non-coding RNA from Cavia porcellus (domestic guinea pig), 2053 nucleotides. RefSeq lists it as uncharacterized. The transcript has 5 exons. The record is from RefSeq and is a predicted model, not a curated record. NCBI's taxonomy places the organism in Eukaryota, Metazoa, Chordata, Mammalia, Rodentia, Caviidae.